UAAGGUAGCAUAAUCAAUUGGCUUUUAAUUGAAGUCUGGAAUGAAUGGAUUCAUGGGAGCAAGCUGUCUCAUUCUUUUGUAUAGAAUUUAAUAAGUGGGUGAAAAUGCCCACAAAAGGAAAAAAGACGAUAAGACCCUGAUGAAUUUUUAUAAGAGGUAGUAGAUCCUACUUUUUUUUUGUUGGGGCGACAUAGAAGCAGAUGAACCUUCUAGGAUAACAUGCCGAUUUUAAAAAGAAAGAGUAAAUUACCACAGGGAUAACAGCACAAUUAGUUAACUAGCUUAUGACCUCGAUGUUGGACUAGGAACUAUUUUGGCUGAGUCGUCAAAAUAUCUUGUUCUGUUCGAACAUUAUUUCCU
This 360-nucleotide ribosomal RNA is filed under the name Aiteng mysticus. RNAcentral describes it as "partial 16S ribosomal RNA". It matches the Rfam family "Bacterial large subunit ribosomal RNA", at positions 1952 to 2596 of the family's 2925-position model. Lineage: Eukaryota; Metazoa; Mollusca; Gastropoda; Acochlidiacea; Aitengidae. The record is from RNAcentral.